Molecule: ribosomal RNA, 402 nt
Filed under: uncultured prokaryote
Description: bacterial SSU rRNA
Rfam family: Bacterial small subunit ribosomal RNA
Source: RNAcentral
UGGGGAAUCUUAGACAAUGGGCGCAAGCCUGAUCUAGCCAUGCCGCGUGAGCGAUGAAGGCCUUAGGGUUGUAAAGCUCUUUCAGAUGGGAAGAUAAUGACUGUACCAUCAGAAGAAGCCCCGGCAAACUCCGUGCCAGCAGCCGCGGUAAUACGGAGGGGGCUAGCGUUGUUCGGAAUUACUGGGCGUAAAGCGCACGUAGGCGGACUGGAAAGUCAGAGGGGAAAUCCCAGGGCUCAACCUUGGAACUGCCUUUGAAACUCCCAGUCUUGAGGUCGGGAGAGGUGAGUGGAAUUCCGAGUGUAGAGGUGAAAUUCGUAGAUAUUCGGAGGAACACCAGUGGCGAAGGCGGCUCACUGGCUCGAUACUGACGCUGAGGUGCGAAAGCGUGGGGAGCAAACA